Molecule: ribosomal RNA, 492 nt
Filed under: uncultured bacterium
Lineage: Bacteria
Description: partial 16S ribosomal RNA
Rfam family: Bacterial small subunit ribosomal RNA
Source: RNAcentral
AGUGAACGCUGGCGGUAGGCCUAACACAUGCAAGUCGAACGGCAGCACAGUAAGAGCUUGCUCUUACGGGUGGCGAGUGGCGGACGGGUGAGGAAUACAUCGGAAUCUACUUUUUCGUGGGGGAUAACGUAGGGAAACUUACGCUAAUACCGCAUACGACCUACGGGUGAAAGCAGGGGAUCUUCGGACCUUGCGCGAUUGAAUGAGCUCAUGUCGGAUUAGCUAGUUGGCGGGGUAAAGGCCCACCAAGGCGACGAUCCGUAGCCGGUCUGAGAGGAUGAUCAGCCACACUGGAACUUAGACACGGUCCAGACUCCUACGGGAGGCAGCAGUGGGGAAUAUUGGACAAUGGGCGCAAGCCUGAUCCAGCCAUACCGCGUGGGUGAAGAAGGCCUUCGGGUUGUAAAGCCCUUUUGUUGGGAAAGAAAAGCAGCAGGUUAAUACCCCGCUGUUCUGACGGUACCCAAAGAAUAAGCACCGGCUAACUUCGUG